GCCUUUGUAGUGUAGUGGUCAGUACGCUCGACGCGUAACCGAGAGGUCCGUGGUUCGAUUCCCGGCGACGGCG
This 73-nucleotide transfer RNA is filed under the name Stegodyphus mimosarum. It matches the Rfam family "tRNA". From Rfam's summary of the family: Transfer RNA (tRNA) molecules are approximately 80 nucleotides in length. Their secondary structure includes four short double-helical elements and three loops (D, anti-codon, and T loops). Further hydrogen bonds mediate the characteristic L-shaped molecular structure. tRNAs have two regions of fundamental functional importance: the anti-codon, which is responsible for specific mRNA codon recognition, and the 3' end, to which the tRNAs corresponding amino acid is attached (by aminoacyl-tRNA synthetases). tRNAs cope with the degeneracy of the genetic code in two manners: having more than one tRNA (with a specific anti-codon) for a particular amino acid; and 'wobble' base-pairing, i.e. permitting non-standard base-pairing at the 3rd anti-codon position. Lineage: Eukaryota; Metazoa; Arthropoda; Arachnida; Araneae; Eresidae. The record is from Rfam by way of RNAcentral.